Molecule: ribosomal RNA, 606 nt
Filed under: Agromyces sp. 711(2010)
Lineage: Bacteria; Bacillati; Actinomycetota; Actinomycetes; Micrococcales; Microbacteriaceae
Description: bacterial SSU rRNA
Rfam family: Bacterial small subunit ribosomal RNA
Source: RNAcentral
UCGAACGAUGAACCCGGAGCUUGCUCUGGGGGAUUAGUGGCGAACGGGUGAGUAACACGUGAGUAACCUGCCCUGGACUCUGGGAUAAGCGUUGGAAACGACGUCUAAUACCGGAUAGGACCUUGGAUCGCAUGAUCUGGGGUGGAAAGUUUUUUCGGUCUGGGAUGGACUCGCGGCCUAUCAGCUUGUUGGUGAGGUAAUGGCUCACCAAGGCGUCGACGGGUAGCCGGCCUGAGAGGGUGACCGGCCACACUGGGACUGAGACACGGCCCAGACUCCUACGGGAGGCAGCAGUGGGGAAUAUUGCACAAUGGGCGAAAGCCUGAUGCAGCAACGCCGCGUGCGGGAUGACGGCCUUCGGGUUGUAAACCGCUUUUAGUAGGGAAGAAGGGCUUCGGCUUGACGGUACCUGCAGAAAAAGGACCGGCUAACUACGUGCCAGCAGCCGCGGUAAUACGUAGGGUCCGAGCGUUGUCCGGAAUUAUUGGGCGUAAAGAGCUCGUAGGCGGUUUGUCACGUCUGCUGUGAAAACUGGAGGCUCAACCUCCAGCCUGCAGUGGGUACGGGCAGACUAGAUUGCGGUAGGGGAGAAUGGAAUUCCUGGUG